UCUCCGUUGGUGAACCAGCGGAGGGAUCAUUACCGAGUUUACAACUCCCAAACCCAAUGUGAACGUUACCAAACUGUUGCCUCGGCGGGGUCACGCCCCGGGUGCGUCGCAGCCCCGGAACCAGGCGCCCGCCGGAGGAACCAACCAAACUCUUUCUGUAGUCCCCUCGGGGACGUUAUUUCUUACAGCUCUGAGCAAAAAUUCAAAAUGAAUCAAAACUUUCAACAACGGAUCUCUUGGUUCUG
Molecule: unclassified non-coding RNA, 245 nt
Filed under: plant metagenome
Description: partial contains small subunit ribosomal RNA, internal transcribed spacer 1, and 5.8S ribosomal RNA
Source: RNAcentral